GCAGGCAUCGGGCCAAUCUCAGAGGGCGCGCACGCCGCAUCAGGACCCCGGAACCCGCCCCGUUGGGGAUAGGGACAGAUGGAGAAUCCAGCUCAGACCCAGCAACUCUGAGCUGACUUGGAUCUAAUUCUUCCCAAUUCAUGCCACAAGCCCAACUCAUCAGCUGAUACCUGAGGAUGAUCCACUGCUCACUGAGCGUGGUCAGGGAGCGCCGCUGUCGGACGAGCAUCUUCAUCAAAUGUGCUGAGAACCCUCUGCACCUCUCCACGUUGCCCAUGCCCAUUUCCUGGCAGAAGAAGGAAAAACAUGCUGAAGGGGCUGCUGACAAACAUCACCCACAGAUGUGCCUCUAGAAAGCUGUUUCUACUAUAAGCGUCAGACAUGCCACACUCUAGAGGAGUUGCUAGUGCUGCGUUAAGCCUGGCAUGCCGUGCAAGAGAGCGAUAAAAAUACUUCUGGCAUCCAUCCCAUGAAGACGAGAUUUCUGUAAGCAGCCUGGAAAAGAUAUCAACAUUGUUUACUUAAUUAAAACCACGCUCUCCCACCCCAGAUCCUGAAAACUCAGAUAUUGGUAUAUUUGGCCAUAACCAAGAGUCAGCUGUCUGAAUAGGUUUAUUUCUAUGAGGAAUCAUUCAGUGAGGCACUCAUUAGUCCUUUACUUAACUCAGCACUGGAAGUAUCAGGGGAAAUAAAUUAUGCUGACAACAUGGUUUCUUCAAUGAAAUCUUCCUAUCUUGGCAGUGGAGGCUAGGGGGUCAUAAACUCUGAUGCCUACAGGGGCCAGGCAAAUAACAUAAGAGGACUAAGGACAGCCAAGCAUACAAUGAUGCAUGGCAGUGACAGCUGACCUCAACGUGGGGAAGACACAGGGGUUGUUGAGGGCUCAAGUAAGCUGGAGAGCAUGUGUCCUAUCAAAAGGAGGAAACUACUAUUCAGCUACAGUGCUGCUGACUGAAUGGGAAUGCAAGCCCACUUCGUGAAUUUUCCUGAAAAAGAAUGCUUAUGUAAAAUUUCCCCUUUCUACAAUGUUCUGUUGAAUUCAAAUUUAAAGCCCUGGGAGCAAAUAAAACACACAUGUGUACUAUACCCAGUUCAUGCAAAGCAUCAUUCACAACAUCCUCUGCUGUGUUGUAAACAGAGGUAGCUCUGCCUGUCUCAAUAGUGUAUGGACUCGCAAAUUCAAUAACAUAUUAGAACUUAUGAGGAGUGUAUGUAUAUAGAGCAACUAAAAAUAUACCAUUUUCUAAUAGGUUUCCACAUGUAUGAUCAAAUGAAGCAAGUAGACCUCAGGAAAAUCAAAAGGCAAAAAAAAAAAAAAAAAAGGGAAGAAGAAGAAGAAUGGAGAGGUGAAUGCAAG
This 1357-nucleotide long non-coding RNA is filed under the name Homo sapiens (human). RNAcentral's name for it is "HSALNT0335610". The record is from RNAcentral. Lineage: Eukaryota; Metazoa; Chordata; Mammalia; Primates; Hominidae.